UCUGUGUCGGGCUGUGCUCUGUGUCGGGCUGUGCCGGGCUUCCGGCUGUGCUCUGCGUCUGGCUGUGCUCUGAGUCCGGCUGUGCUCUGAGUCUGGCUCCGGCUGUGUUAAUUACAAACAAGUACGAAAAUGUUUUACCUACUGCAGCCCUCAUCCUCCACAACCCUCUUAGGCCUCACUCCCCCCUAUCUGAGAUACCUACUGCAGUCCUCAUCCUCCACAUACAACACCCGUUCUGCCAGCCACAUUCUGUUAAAGGUCCCCAAAGCACACACAUCCCUGGGUCGCUCCUCUUUUCAGUUCGCUGCAGCUAGCGACUGGAACGAGCUGCAACAAACACUCAAACUGGACAGUUUAAUCUCCAUCUCUUCAUUCAAAGACUCAAUCAUGGACUCUUACUGACAGUUGUGGCUGCUUUGCGUGAUGUAUUGUUGUCUCUAACUUCUUGCCCUUUAUGCCGUUGACUGUGCGCAAUAAUGUUCGUACCAUGUUUUGUGCUGCUAACAUGUUGUGCUGCUACCAUGUUGUGAGGCUACCAUGUUGUGUUGCUACCAUGUUGUUAUGUUGUGUUGCUAUCAUGCCGUGUUGUCAUGUGUUACUGCCUUGCUACGUUGUUGUCUUAGGUCUCUUUAAGUAGUGUUGCCUCUCUUGUCGUGAUAUGUGUUUUGUCCUAUAUUUAUAUUUACCCUUUAUUUUUAAUCCAUGCCCGUCCCCGCAGGAGGCCUUUUGCCUUUUGGUAGGCCGUAAUUGUAAAUAAGAAGUUGCUGAUAAAAAUAAAAUAGCAGAGACUUACCCCGAUGCUGCCAGUGGCUUGCGGCUAUCAAGAAUGAUGCUUACGGUGACCAAAGAGCAGAAGGAUUUUCAGGCUGAAUGGAUGGGGAAUCCAUUUCGACAAAAGCUGAGAAGUGGUGCGAUACCAUCAUUUUCCCCCCUUCACAACAAAAUGGAUAAUUCUCGAUUAGGA
Molecule: long non-coding RNA, 964 nt
Organism: Oncorhynchus tshawytscha (Chinook salmon)
Lineage: Eukaryota; Metazoa; Chordata; Actinopteri; Salmoniformes; Salmonidae
Source: Ensembl